RNAcentral lists this ribosomal RNA (541 nucleotides) under uncultured bacterium. RNAcentral's name for it is "bacterial SSU rRNA". It matches the Rfam family "Bacterial small subunit ribosomal RNA", at positions 777 to 1315 of the family's 1533-position model. The record is from RNAcentral.
AAUAGAUACCCCGGUAGUCCACACCGUAAACGUUGGGCGCUAGGUGUGGGAUCCAUUCCACGGGUUCCGUGCCGCAGCUAACGCAUUAAGCGCCCCGCCUGGGGAGUACGGCCGCAAGGCUAAAACUCAAAGGAAUUGACGGGGGCCCGCACAAGCGGCGGAGCAUGCGGAUUAAUUCGAUGCAACGCGAAGAACCUUACCUGGGUUUGACAUACACCGGAAGCCUCCAGAGAUGGGGGUCUCUUUGAUACUGGUGUACAGGUGGUGCAUGGCUGUCGUCGGCUCGUGUCGUGAGAUGUUGGGUUAAGUCCCGCAACGAGCGCAACCCUCGUCCUAUGUUGCCAGCGGGUUAUGCCGGGGACUCAUAGGAGACUGCCGGGGUCAACUCGGAGGAAGGUGGGGAUGACGUCAAGUCAUCAUGCCCCUUAUGUCCAGGGCUUCACGCAUGCUACAAUGGCCGGUACAAAGGGCUGCGAUGCUGUAAGGCGGAGCGAAUCCCAAAAAGCCGGUCUCAGUUCGGAGUUGGGGUCGUGCAACUCGA